RNAcentral lists this ribosomal RNA (119 nucleotides) under Ursus maritimus (polar bear). The record is from RNAcentral. Lineage: Eukaryota; Metazoa; Chordata; Mammalia; Carnivora; Ursidae.
GUCUAUGGCCAUACCACCCUGAAUGUACCUGAUCUCGUCUGAUCUCAGAAGCUAAGCAGGGUCGGGCCUGGUGAGUACUUGGAUGGGAGACCUCCUGGGAAUAGCGGAUGCUGUAGGCU